RNAcentral lists this unclassified non-coding RNA (481 nucleotides) under Hevea brasiliensis (rubber tree). The record is from RNAcentral. Lineage: Eukaryota; Viridiplantae; Streptophyta; Magnoliopsida; Malpighiales; Euphorbiaceae.
UAGACUGGGUGAGAGUCAGAUCUGUAUAGAGUCCAAAUUCGCCUCCAUUACAGUGCAUCCUUGGUAAGACUCUUAAGCAUCUUUUGGAUUUUGAAAUUUACAUUUUGUAAUAAAUAUUAGUUUUUAUUCUGUACAUUUGAAACUCAUGUAAUUAUAUGAUGAUGUAAUUAUCUAUAAAUUUUAUUAAAAAAAAAUAUGAGUAUUUCUUAUUGAAUUGAGCUUGAGUAUGAUAUGAAAUAAAUUGAGUUUUGAAAUAUUGAGAUUUUUGAGAAAUUUUGAAAUUGUGUUGGUGGUUGACUGGAAUUGAUGAUAUGAUUAUAUUUGAAGUGUUUUUAACAAAUUCAGAAGAAUUGUUUUUUUCAAUUUAUAGUCGGCACUUUGCUGGAUUUUUUUGUAAAAUUUGCGGAAAUCCCGAAUUAAUCAAAAUUUCAAAGAAUGACAUAAAGGUUAGAAAUUUCACUUAAAAGCUUUUUAAUCAAUA